Non-coding RNA from Chelonoidis abingdonii (Abingdon island giant tortoise), 130 nucleotides. NCBI's taxonomy places the organism in Eukaryota, Metazoa, Chordata, Testudines, Testudinidae. The record is from RefSeq and is a predicted model, not a curated record.
UUCAACAAGGACAAAUGCAAAGUACUCCUCUUAUGAGGGAACAAUCAAUUGCAUCCAUACAAAAAAGGGAAAUGACUGCCUAGGAAGGAGUACUGCAAAAAGGGAUCUGGGUAUUAUAGCAGAUCAGAAG